GAGAUAUCUUUGGGCUGGCCAAUCGCGUGUGGGGCAUCGGAGGUCCCUGGUUGGCGUGAACGCGUGCGCGACCGACCGAGCCGCCGUUCCCCAUCCCUCGAUUCCUCUCCCUCCCCUCGUCUUCCGCCGUCGCUGCCACCGGCGACCUCCCCACAGCAGCUGCCGCCACCGGCGACCUCCCCCACGGCUGAUGCUCCCACCCCUUCUAUCCUUCCUUUACCUUCCCUCACCAUCGACGACCUCCUCCCCUCCCCCCUGCCCCAAAUUGAGCAGCAGGCCCAGAUCCAACGCAGGCUCAGAUCCGGCACGCUCAUAACCCUGGUUCGUCUUGAGGACACUAUGGACAAGAUGCUCUGGGCCUAGUGAUGCAGCCAUGGACAAGGACUCAUGUGGUCGUCGAUUACAAGGGUGUCUCAGGGGGUUAAAGAAGUUGUGUUCUUACAGAUUUGAGCUGAAAGUAAUUCAAAAUAGGAGGCCGGAAGGGAUCUUAUACUACGAUGAGCGUUUUCUUCAAUCAUACCAAAAUGCAUGAAAAAUAUAGCUGUGGUUGUUGGUCUGAUUUAAAUGAGAAUUUAAAUAUUUCUUGCUUGGUUAUUCCAGUUAUGUUACAAUAUUUGAUUUUCGUAGCUCAGGAUGUCGAUUCACAUUGUCUUAAUUCCUGUAUGCUGGUUUCUUUCUACCCCUUGACAGGGAGAUCCAGGAAGGAGGUGACCGUCUCCCACGGCGUCGCAUCGUCAUGAGGAGGACGAAAGUGAGCAUGGGCUGUAGGCUGGUGACAUACAUACUGGUUAAGGGUGGAUAUAUGUGAUUUGUGUGCCGUGUCGGUUCCAGGUAGCACAAUGUUUCAGACUCAGAGCAAAGGAAAAAGCUGAUCAAUAGGUUUCAGCCAUGGUUAGCCUCUCUUCCAAUUUUUUGAUGUGAGUUUUUAGCCUUACUUUUUCUGGCAAUGGAUGCAGAUUAGCUUGGUGGCCUGCAUCUAUAUUUCUUUAUAGUUUUUUUUGUGUUGUUUGGCUAAUAAUUCUGCUCUGUAUCAUCUCCAAACAAGGGUUAGUUAGCUAUCUUUAGAUCUUUUUUGGUACACAAACACUGCAUGUAUUUGUACGUAUAGCAGGAUUUGAAUCCGUUUUGUAUCUACAUGGCAGAACUACCACUCAAAUUAGUGUCUUUUAUUUCUUCAUCAAGAAAAGGUUUGUUCUCUCAGUUUCCUCCAAGUCCAAGUUCAGUUUGAACUGUCUAAACAGGGAUUUACAGAUUGUAUAUUCUUUGCCCACUUGCUAUUUUUUUGCUAAUGCCGUCAUUGUGAUUAGCAAAAGUAGGAUUUUUAUAUGCUUGGUUACUCUUUAGAUUACGAUGUUGAAGACACAGCUUUACCUCUUCAACCAUCUGAACUAUGCUGCACCAGAACUGGUCCCUAGUGGUGAUUCUAAAGUAGGCUUUUCCUGUGACAUAUUUAGUUUUGGAUUGCCAUAAUAAUGUGAAAAUGGUAUCUGUUUUAAUCUGGCACAUGCUUUGUCAAAAUAUAAUGUAUUUAAUCUGGACUUCGCUCUACCUUUGACAUAUGCUACAGCUGCAUAUGCAGAAAACAUACUGACAUGUCCCCCUGUAAUUGCAGUAUAUGAAUUCAUUGACAUAUUUAACAAGUGAAGCCUUUUCUAAUAUUCCUACUCAUCUGGUGGUUGAUUUGCAAAAGAUGCUCUCAGUUGACAGCGGCGGCGGACAGCGCUGGGCGGCACGCCCAUCAGUGCCCGUGUGCCCCGACCGGUGCGGACUGCUUGCGUAGGGCCACAUCAGCUGGUUGCUCAAGCCUGCGUGUGGACUGCCCGGUAAGCUCUAUGAAUCCACUCUGAAUCUGUUUGUUCUUGCAAUCUUGCUCUGUCCAGUUUGGGGUUCGCUAUGCAGGGUUGCGUCUAACCCACUGCCAGUGAAUUUUAUUCUUCUGAAUUGAUGUGUUACAGUGAUCGGCUGCCCCGAUGCCUAAAAUAUAUGUGCCCUUAAGGCUUGGUGUCCAUGGGGAUAGAAAACUGAGUUGAUUUCAAGUGGUACCUGAACGUCUACACAAGAUUUGACUAAAACUUUCUCCUACUAGAUUUCACAAGAGAGCCUUCUAUUCUCCUUUUUAGAACUGAAUAUAUUUGAUGUGCCGUUCAAUAGCAAUGUAGAUACACUGACUCUGCUUUUUCACUAUCAAACAGUCCCAACAAUAGGACUCUGCAAAAUCAAUUUUGGUGUCUUGUUUAAUUGUUUUAUUUGAUGCGAGCUAAGAUUGAUUUCCAGCUCAUCUCCAUGGGUUCCCUGAGGUGAGCGCGAUGCCGAGGAGAGAUGGCGUCGAGGACGACAUCUGAGGACAUCAUCACGCUCAUGGCUCCGCCGCCAUCGUCAUCGAGUUUUUUGGUUUCACAGCAAACAGGUGUGCGACGGGCCGGCAACCAGCGGCGCCAUCUCUAUCCCUGACACUAGAUAAUAGCGUGGCUAAUGGCCCGCGCGCGGCGCGCCUGUCUGUGCCCGUGCGCUCAGGCUGAUGCGGACUGCGACUGCGCGUAGGGCCGCCGCAGCUGCAUGCUCAAGGCGGCGUGCGGACUGCCUGGAUCUAAGACGACACAUAUCACACUUCUGCCCGUCAUCCUAAUUUUGGUGCUUUUUUAGAGGUGUGGGAUUGGGCAGUGGUGAGCUUGGCUCUCAUAUCAGGUUGGGAAGCAGUCAAUGGGUGAUUACCGAACGUGUCGGAACUUCCAAGCAAAUGUCUCUCUGUGGCUAAAAUAAAUCUUAUUUCCCCUCAAGUUACUAAACUGCAAUGGGUAGUUGGUCGGUCGCUGUCAAUUGAAUGUGGGAAUUGAAAUGUCUUGCCGUUUUACAAUUCUUGUUUUGCUUCACAAUCUUCUCUGUUAAAUAGACCUGUUAGUAUCUAUGAAACUACUACGCUUGCUUUGCUUUAUGAAUGAACACUUGUCUCCUGCA
This is a non-coding RNA of Triticum urartu, 2955 nucleotides long. The record is from RefSeq and is a predicted model, not a curated record. Lineage: Eukaryota; Viridiplantae; Streptophyta; Magnoliopsida; Poales; Poaceae.